Molecule: small RNA, 1192 nt
Filed under: Pan troglodytes (chimpanzee)
Lineage: Eukaryota; Metazoa; Chordata; Mammalia; Primates; Hominidae
Description: retained intron
Source: RNAcentral
AAACCAGCUGCUGAAAGCUGGGGGGGUGGGUCUCAGACUUCAGGUGGCAUAAUAAAAAGAAGGAAUGACUCAUGCUGGGACACGGAUGGCCCCUGAAAACAUCAUGCUAGGUGAAGGGAGCCAGAGAUGAAAGGCCACAUUCGGAUGUCUGCCUGAGCCCCACCCCGAAUGCCAGCCCUUCUUCCCUGAGCUCACCCAGCCCCAGCUCCAGGACUGAGAGCCCCAGGAAGCUUGGAGAGGUGUGAGAGACAGGUGUCCAGCCUCAGCCCCGCUCCUUCACCUGCAGAGCCCGGCAUGUGGGGCUACCUGUCGCUGAUGCCUGUCUUCCUAGCUGUCUGGGCUAUCUCUGGCGUCUGGAUCGUUUUUGCCAUUGCAGUGACCAACAGGACUGUGGACCUCAGUAAAGGCUUUCCCUACAUCAGCAUCUGCGGAUCCUUCCCCCCUCAGAGCUGCAUCUUCAGCCAGGUGCUCAAUAUGGGAGCCGCUCUGGCCGCGUGGAUCUGCAUUGUCCGUUACCACCAGCUCCGGGACUGGGGCGUCGGAAGGUGGCCUAACCAGCUGAUCCUAUGGACGGGUCUUCUCUGUGCCCUGGGCACCUCCGUGGUAGGCAAUUUCCAGGUGAGACCCAGUUGGCGCCCAGGGUCUGUCCCGGCCGGCGUCUGGAACUACAACUCCCAGCAUGCCCGUGGCCAUAGGCUUAUUGUCUCGGGGGCUGGUUCCAGCCUGGCCCUCCUGGGACUUGUAUUUUUCUUUGGCCAGUGGCCUUGGACCGGCUGGAUUCCUUUGCUCUCUGAGUGGGGCACUACGAGCGAGGCUGUUUGUAUGUAGGACUUCGUUGACUUCCAGGACGUUGGGAUAAUUUUCUGCCAGCCCCUCUCCCCAGCUUAUUUAAUGAUGAAAUUACUGGUCCAGGCGCAGUGGCUCAUGCCUGUAAUCCCAGCACUUUGGGAGGCAGAGGCAGGCGGAUCGCCUGAGGUGAGGAGUUUGAGACCAGCCUGGCCAACCAACAUGGUGAAACCCCGUCUCUCCUAAAAUACAGAAAAAUUAGCCGGGCGUGGUGGCAGGCGACUUAAUCCCAGCUACUUGGGAGGCAGAGGCAGGAGAAUCAUUUGAACCUGGGAGGUGGAGGUUGCAGUGAGCCGAGAUUGAGCCAUUGCACUCAAACCUGGGGGAUAAGAGUGAGACUUCUCUC